Molecule: ribosomal RNA, 585 nt
Filed under: Salmonella enterica
Lineage: Bacteria; Pseudomonadati; Pseudomonadota; Gammaproteobacteria; Enterobacterales; Enterobacteriaceae
Description: partial 23S ribosomal RNA
Rfam family: Bacterial large subunit ribosomal RNA
Source: RNAcentral
CAUAAGCCAGCUUGACUGCGAGCGUGACGGCGCGAGCAGGUGCGAAAGCAGGUCAUAGUGAUCCGGUGGUUCUGAAUGGAAGGGCCAUCGCUCAACGGAUAAAAGGUACUCCGGGGAUAACAGGCUGAUACCGCCCAAGAGUUCAUAUCGACGGCGGUGUUUGGCACCUCGAUGUCGGCUCAUCACAUCCUGGGGCUGAAGUAGGUCCCAAGGGUAUGGCUGUUCGCCAUUUAAAGUGGUACGCGAGCUGGGUUUAGAACGUCGUGAGACAGUUCGGUCCCUAUCUGCCGUGGGAGCUGGAGAACUGAGGGGGGCUGCUCCUAGUACGAGAGGACCGGAGUGGACGCAUCACUGGUGUUCGGGUUGUCAUGCCAAUGGCACUGCCCGGUAGCUAAAUGCGGAAGAGAUAAGUGCUGAAAGCAUCUAAGCACGAAACUUGCCCCGAGAUGAGUUCUCCCUGAGACUUAGAGUCUCCUGAAGGAACGUUGAAGACGACGACGUUGAUAGGCCGGGUGUGUAAGCGCAGCGAUGCGUUGAGCUAACCGGUACUAAUGAACCGUGAGGCUUAACCUUACAACGCCGAAG